Molecule: transfer RNA, 77 nt
Filed under: Verrucomicrobium spinosum DSM 4136 = JCM 18804
Lineage: Bacteria; Pseudomonadati; Verrucomicrobiota; Verrucomicrobiia; Verrucomicrobiales; Verrucomicrobiaceae
Description: tRNA-Ile (GAT) (tRNA-Ile-GAT-2-1)
Rfam family: tRNA
About the family: Transfer RNA (tRNA) molecules are approximately 80 nucleotides in length. Their secondary structure includes four short double-helical elements and three loops (D, anti-codon, and T loops).
Source: RNAcentral
GGGCCUGUAGCUCAGUUGGUUAGAGCACCGCCUUGAUAAGGCGGGGGUCAAUGGUUCAAGUCCAUUCAGGCCCACCA